This is a non-coding RNA of Crepidotus variabilis, 84 nucleotides long. The record is from the annotation of a GenBank genome assembly. Lineage: Eukaryota; Fungi; Basidiomycota; Agaricomycetes; Agaricales; Crepidotaceae.
GGUGGAUUGGCGUAGUGGCAACGCGUCAGUUUCCGGUUUUAAGUCCCUAGCUGAAGUACGUGGGUUCGAUCCCCACAUCCAUCG